Molecule: long non-coding RNA, 500 nt
Organism: Rhipicephalus sanguineus (brown dog tick)
Lineage: Eukaryota; Metazoa; Arthropoda; Arachnida; Ixodida; Ixodidae
Exons: 3
Source: RefSeq, a predicted model, not a curated record
GAAAACCGAGCACCCGCUUCACGCUGUCACCGCGUUGGAGACCCCUGAACCGGCUUCUUGCGUGACAGAUGUGACGUUUAAGAGGAGACUAGCCAAGAACAUAGUUUCUUCUCAGUCAAGCUAGUGAUUCUGUGCAUGCGCGGCCCCCUGGCGGCGACUCUGCGAAACGAUCUGUGCGGCGCCGUCGCAGACGCACGCCGCCUCUCUUCUCGUCGCGGCAUUGGUGGUGAGAGUAGUGUUGACAUGUGCAAGCAGGCACAACAAACAUAUUUAUCUAUACAUCUGGUUCUGUUAGCGUGAUGCCGGCGACGUGUGCCGCUUAUGGAUGCACUUCCCUAGACGUGUCCGGCAGCAACAUUCAUAUGUCCGCUUCCCAUCGGUGAAACGUGAUCGUCAGCACUGUGAAGCGUGGAUCGGGGCUGCCAGGCGCCAAAAUGAAGACGGCAGUCCGUGGCAGCCUUCGGAUUUUGCACGACUGCGCAAAAAACACUUCGUUAAAG